UACGAAGGGGGCUAGCGUUGUUCGGAAUCACUGGGCGUAAAGGGCGCGUAGGCGGCCGAUCAAGUCGGGGGUGAAAGCCUGUGGCUCAACCACAGAAUUGCCUUCGAUACUGUUUGGCUUGAGACCGGAAGAGGUUAGUGGAACUGCGAGUGUAGAGGUGAAAUUUGUAGAUAUUCGCAAGAACACCAGUGGCGAAGGCGGCUGACUGGUCCGGUUCUGACGCUGAGGCGCGAAAGCGUGGGGAGCAAACAGG
Molecule: ribosomal RNA, 253 nt
Filed under: uncultured bacterium
Lineage: Bacteria
Description: partial 16S ribosomal RNA
Rfam family: Bacterial small subunit ribosomal RNA
Source: RNAcentral